AGAGUUUGAUCCUGGCUCAGGACGAACGCUGGCGGUGCGCUUUAUGCAUGCAAGUCGAGCGAAGCUUUUCAGUAGUUUACUACAGAAAAUGACUGAGCGGCGAGCGGGUGAGUAACGCGUGAGCAAUCUACCUUAGUUACAGGGAUAGCCCGAGGAAACUCGGAUUAAUACCUGAUAUUCUUUAUUUCUCGCAUGAGAAUAAAAGGAAAGGUCAGCCGAACUAAGAUGAGCUCGCGUUCUAUCAGCUAGUUGGUGAGGUAAAAGCUUACCAAGGCUACGACGGAUAGCUGGUCUGAGAGGACGAUCAGCCACACUGGGACUGAGACACGGCCCAGACUCCUACGGGAGGCUGCAGCAGGGAAUAUUGUGCAAUGAACGAAAGUUUGACACAGCGACACCGCGUGUGGGAUGACGGAUCUAGGUUUGUAAACCACUUUCAGGAGGGAAGAAAAUGACGGUACCUCCACAAGAAGCCCCGGCCAACUACGUGCCAGCAGCCGCGGUAAUACGUAGGGGGCGAGCGUUGUCCGGAUUUAUUGGGCGUAAAGAGCUCGUAGGCGGUUCAACAAGUCGGUCGUGAAAGUUCAGGGCUCAACCCUGAAAUGUCGAUCGAUACUGUUGUGACUAGGAUACGGUAGAGGUGAGUGGAAUUCCGAGUGUAGCGGUGAAAUGCGUAGAUAUUCGGAGGAACACCAAUUGCGAAGGCAGCUCACUGGACCGCUAUCGACGCUGAGGAGCGAAAGCUAGGGGAGCAAACAGGAUUAGAUACCCUGGUAGUCCUAGCUGUAAACGAUGGAUACUAGACGUAGGAACUGGAUUGACGGUUUCUGUGUCGUAGCUAACGCGUUAAGUAUCCCGCCUGGGGAGUACGGUCGCAAGACUAAAACUCAAAGGAAUUGACGG
RNAcentral lists this ribosomal RNA (903 nucleotides) under uncultured marine bacterium. Its description in RNAcentral is "bacterial SSU rRNA". It matches the Rfam family "Bacterial small subunit ribosomal RNA", at positions 8 to 916 of the family's 1533-position model. The record is from RNAcentral.